This 491-nucleotide ribosomal RNA is filed under the name uncultured bacterium. Its description in RNAcentral is "partial 16S ribosomal RNA". It matches the Rfam family "Bacterial small subunit ribosomal RNA", at positions 30 to 507 of the family's 1533-position model. The record is from RNAcentral.
AUUGAACGCUGGCGGCAGGCUUAACACAUGCAAGUCGAGCGGUAACAGAGAGAAGCUUGCUUCUCUGCUGACGAGCGGCGGACGGGUGAGUAAUGCCUAGGAAUCUGCCUAGUAGUGGGGGAUAACUUGCCGAAAGGUAAGCUAAUACCGCAUACGUCCUACGGGAGAAAGGAGGGGACCUUCGGGCCUUUCGCUAUUAGAUGAGCCUAGGUCGGAUUAGUUAGUUGGUGAGGUAAUGGCUCACCAAGACCGCGAUCCGUAACUGGUCUGAGAGGAUGAUCAGUCACACUGGAACUGAGACACGGUCCAGACUCCUACGGGAGGCAGCAGUGGGGAAUAUUGGACAAUAGGGGGGAACCCUGAUCCAGCCAUGCCGCGUGUGUGAAGAAGGUCUUAGGAUUGUAAAGCACUUUAAGUUGGGAGGAAGAGCAGUUAACUAAUAUUUGACUGUUUUGACGUUACCGACAGAAUAAGCACCGGCUAACUUCGUG